Molecule: ribosomal RNA, 253 nt
Filed under: uncultured bacterium
Lineage: Bacteria
Description: partial 16S ribosomal RNA
Rfam family: Bacterial small subunit ribosomal RNA
Source: RNAcentral
UACAGAGGUCUCAAGCGUUGUUCGGAAUUACUGGGCGUAAAGGGUGCGCAGGCCGCGCGGGCAGUCAAAUGUGUAAUCCAGGGGCUCAACCCCUGAACUGCGCUUGAUACUUCCGCGCUCGAGCUUUGGAGAGGAGUCUGGAAUUCUCGGUGUAGCAGUGAAAUGCGUGGAUAUCGAGAAGAACACUUAGGGCGUAGGCAAGACUCUGGACAAAUGCUGACGCUCAUGCACGAAGGCUAGGAUAGCGAACGGG